UGCGUAGGUGGUCCGUUAAGUUCGUUGUGAAAGCCCUGGGCUCAACCCAGGAACUGCUUCGAAUACUGGCGGACUUGAGGCCGGUAUGGGUCACUGGAACUGACGGUGGAGCGGUGAAAUGCGUAGAUAUCGUCAGGAACGCCAAUGGUGAAGACAGGUGACUGGGCCGGAUCUGACACUGAGGCACGAAAGCGUGGGGAGCGAACGGGAUUAGAUACCCCGGUAGUCCCACGCCCUAAACGAUGCAGACUAGACUGCAGCGGGUUACACCCGUUGCGGUCGGAGCGAAAUUGUUAAGUCUGCCACCUGGGAAGUACGGUCGCAAGGCUAAA
RNAcentral lists this ribosomal RNA (332 nucleotides) under uncultured bacterium. Its description in RNAcentral is "bacterial SSU rRNA". It matches the Rfam family "Bacterial small subunit ribosomal RNA", at positions 568 to 898 of the family's 1533-position model. The record is from RNAcentral.